Molecule: transfer RNA, 72 nt
Filed under: Odocoileus virginianus texanus
Lineage: Eukaryota; Metazoa; Chordata; Mammalia; Artiodactyla; Cervidae
Also listed under: 5 other names
Rfam family: tRNA
About the family: Transfer RNA (tRNA) molecules are approximately 80 nucleotides in length. Their secondary structure includes four short double-helical elements and three loops (D, anti-codon, and T loops).
Source: Rfam by way of RNAcentral
UCCCUCAUAGCUCAGUUGGUAAAGAAUCUGCCUGCAAUGCAGAAGACCUGGGUUCAAUUCCUGGGUUGGGAA